CAGCAGCCGCGGUAAUACGGAGGGUGCAAGCGUUGUUCGGAAUCACUGGGCGUAAAGGGCGUGUAGGCGGUCCGCUAAGUCUGAUGUGAAAGCCCGAGGCUUACCCUCGGAAGUGCAUUGGAGACUGGCAGACUAGAGUCCCGGAGAGGAGGGUGGAAUUCCUGGUGUAGCGGUGAAAUGCGUAGAUAUCAGGAGGAACACCGGUGGCGAAGGCGGCCCUCUGGACGGUGACUGACGCUGAGACGCGAAAGCGUGGGGAGCAAACAGGAUUAGAUACCCUGGUAGUCCACGCUGUAAACGAUGAGCACUAGGUGUCGCGGGUAUUGACCCCUGCGGUGCCGACGCUAACGCAUUAAGUGCUCCGCCUGGGGAGUACGGUCGCAAGAUUAAAACUCAAAGGAAUUGACGG
Molecule: ribosomal RNA, 409 nt
Filed under: uncultured bacterium
Lineage: Bacteria
Description: bacterial SSU rRNA
Rfam family: Bacterial small subunit ribosomal RNA
Source: RNAcentral